RNAcentral lists this long non-coding RNA (280 nucleotides) under Daucus carota (carrot). Its description in RNAcentral is "long non-coding RNA (DCAR_LNC004611)". Lineage: Eukaryota; Viridiplantae; Streptophyta; Magnoliopsida; Apiales; Apiaceae. The record is from RNAcentral.
AGGGCCGGCCCCUGGGUAAGGCGACCAAGGCGAACGCCUAGGGCACCACUAUCCCAGGGGCACCAAAAGAUCUAUGCAUAAGUAGUGUAUAAUGAUAAAUUUAUGUUUUUAUAUAUUUACAUGUUUGAAUUGAUUGUGUUGUUAAUCUUAAAAUAAUAUUUUUCUUAGGUCAUUAUAUAUUGAUUUGAAUGUAUGUAAAUUUUUCCUUCACGAUCUUCAAAACUAGGGACACCAUUUUCUAAAUUCGUCUAGGGCACCCAAAUCCCUAGGGCCGGCCCUG